GGAAACAGGUGCUAAUACCGCAUAACCAUGAACACCGCAUGAUGUUCAUGUAAAAGACGGCUUUUGCUGUCACUUUUGGAUGGGCCUGCGGCGUAUUAACUUGUUGGUGGGGUAACGGCCUACCAAGGUGAUGAUACGUAGCCGAACUGAGAGGUUGAUCGGCCACAUUGGGACUGAGACACGGCCCAAACUCCUACGGGAGGCAGCAGUAGGGAAUCUUCCACAAUGGACGAAAGUCUGAUGGAGCAACGCCGCGUGAAUGAAGAAGGCCUUUGGGCCGUAAAAUUCUGUUGUCAGAGAAGAACGUGCGUGAGAGUAACUGUUCACGUAUUGACGGUAUCUGACCAGAAAGCCACGGCUAACUACGUGCCAGCAGCCGCGGUAAUACGAU
This 391-nucleotide ribosomal RNA is filed under the name uncultured Lactobacillus sp. Its description in RNAcentral is "bacterial SSU rRNA". It matches the Rfam family "Bacterial small subunit ribosomal RNA", at positions 152 to 529 of the family's 1533-position model. Lineage: Bacteria; Bacillati; Bacillota; Bacilli; Lactobacillales; Lactobacillaceae. The record is from RNAcentral.